UCCUUUUGUAGAUAAUUUAAGGUCUAGCCUGCCCACUGAAAUUUUAAAUGGCCGUGGUAUUUUGACCGUGCUAAGGUAGCAUAAUCAUUAGUUUUUUAAUUAAAAACUGGAAUGAAAGGUUGGAUGAGAAAAUAGCUGUCUCUAUUAAAUUUAAUUAGAAUUUUAUUUUUAAGUUAAAAAGCUUAAUUAUUAUUAAAAGACGAGAAGACCCUAUAGAGUUUAAUUAUUUAGUAAAAAUUAUAUUUUAGUAUUAAUUUAUUUAUUUUAUUAAAUAAUUUAAUUGGGGUGAUUGAAAAAUUUAAUUAACUUUUUUUAUUUAAGAACAUUAAUUUAUGAGUAAAUGAUCCAAUAUUUUUGAUUAUAAGAUAAAAUUACCUUAGGGAUAACAGCGUAAUUUUUUUAGAAAGUUCAUAUUAAAAAAAAAGAUUGCGACCUCGAUGUUGGAUUAAAAUAAAUUUUUGGUGUAGAAGCUAAAAUAUUAGGUCUGUUCGACCUUUAAAAUUUUACAUGAU
RNAcentral lists this ribosomal RNA (512 nucleotides) under Oreina speciosa. RNAcentral's name for it is "partial 16S ribosomal RNA". It matches the Rfam family "Bacterial large subunit ribosomal RNA", at positions 1830 to 2604 of the family's 2925-position model. The record is from RNAcentral. Lineage: Eukaryota; Metazoa; Arthropoda; Insecta; Coleoptera; Chrysomelidae.